AUUGAACGCUGGCGGCAUGCCUUACACAUGCAAGUCGAACGGUAACAGGUCUUCGGAUGCUGACGAGUGGCGAACGGGUGAGUAAUACAUCGGAACGUGCCUAGUAGUGGGGGAUAACUACUCGAAAGAGUGGCUAAUACCGCAUGAGAUCUACGGAUGAAAGCAGGGGAUCGCAAGACCUUGUGCUACUAGAGCGGCCGAUGGCAGAUUAGGUAGGUGGUGGGAUAAAAGCUUACCAAGCCGACGAUCUGUAGCUGGUCUGAGAGGACGAUCAGCCACACUGGGACUGAGAAACGGCCCAGACUCCUCCGGGAGGCAGCAGUGGGGAAGUUUGGACAAUGGGCGCAAGCCUGAUCCAGCAAUGCCGCGUGCAGGAUGAAGGCCUUCGGGUUGUAAACUGCUUUUGUACGGAGCGAAAAGCCCCGGGUUAAUACCCUGGGGUCAUGACGGUACCGUAAGAAUAAGCACCGGCUAACUACGUGCCAGCCGCCGCCGUAA
This 498-nucleotide ribosomal RNA is filed under the name uncultured bacterium. Its description in RNAcentral is "partial 16S ribosomal RNA". It matches the Rfam family "Bacterial small subunit ribosomal RNA", at positions 30 to 523 of the family's 1533-position model. The record is from RNAcentral.